CCUACGGGCUGCACCAGUGGGGAAUAUUGCACAAUGGGCGCAAGCCUGAUGCAGCCAUGCCGCGUGUAUGAAGAAGGCCUUCGGGUUGUAAAGUACUUUCAGUCGGGAGGAAGGUGGUGAGCUUAAUACGCUCAUCAAUUGACGUUACCGACAGAAGAAGCACCGGCUAACUCCGUGCCAGCAACCGCGGUAAUACGGAGGGUGCAAGCGUUAAUCGGAAUUACUGGGCGUAAAGCGCACGCAGGCGGUUGAUUAAGUUAGAUGUGAAAUCCCCGGGCUUAACCUGGGAAUGGCAUCUAAGACUGGUCAGCUAGAGUCUUGUAGAGGGGGGUAGAAUUCCAUGUGUAGCGGUGAAAUGCGUAGAGCUGUGGAGGAAUACCGGUGGCGAAGGCAGCCCCCUGGACAAAGACUGACGCUCAGGUGCGAAAGCGUGGGGAGCAAACAGGAUUAGAUACCCCGGUAGUC
This 465-nucleotide ribosomal RNA is filed under the name uncultured bacterium. RNAcentral's name for it is "bacterial SSU rRNA". It matches the Rfam family "Bacterial small subunit ribosomal RNA", at positions 338 to 795 of the family's 1533-position model. The record is from RNAcentral.